Molecule: long non-coding RNA, 209 nt
Filed under: Lathyrus oleraceus (garden pea)
Lineage: Eukaryota; Viridiplantae; Streptophyta; Magnoliopsida; Fabales; Fabaceae
Description: Pisum sativum (pea) long non-coding RNA (PSAT_LNC000086)
Source: RNAcentral
UCAGGUCGACACAUAAAGUACCAGAAAUCAAGGAAAUAUUUUUUGUUACUCACAGGUCGACACAUACACCUUACAGAUCGGCACAUACUGAAACUUUUAGUAUAUGUGUCGACACAUACCAGUUCAGGUCGACACAUGUCAGUAUUUUUGCUCCUUGAAUUUUUCUGUCAUCCAGAGGUCGACACGUAACUUGCAUAGGUAAGAACGUG